Molecule: ribosomal RNA, 1659 nt
Filed under: Triticum aestivum (bread wheat)
Lineage: Eukaryota; Viridiplantae; Streptophyta; Magnoliopsida; Poales; Poaceae
Description: partial small subunit ribosomal RNA
Source: RNAcentral
AUGCUUCCUAUCCUACUAGGUAAAGUCGGCAACAUGAGCUUAGCCACAAUACAAACGCGUAGCAUGACGUCUUGUUCAGGUCUAAGUCUUGCUACGCUGGUUAUGAUGGCCACCUUGCUGUUAUUUUUCUUGAAGAAAAAUAAAAAUGCGGUGCCACAGACAGGCCAAUUCCCCCCUGGGCCGGCCACGCUACCCUUCGUCGGUAAUAUGCACCAGAUGAUUUGGAACAAACCGGCGGUGUUCCGGUGGAUCCAUCGUCUGCUCAAGGAGAUGAACACAGACAUCCUGUGCCUUCGUCUUGGAGCGACCCAUGUCAUUGCUGUGACAAGCCCGGAGAUCGCAUGCGAGGUAUUGCGAAAGAAUGAUGAGGUUUUCGCCUCCCGUCCCAUCACCUUUGCCUCUGGCUCAUUUAGCUACGGGUACAAGGGCUCUAUCUUGUCACCACACGGAGAGCAAUGGAAGAAGAUGAGGCGGGUCCUCGCCUCUGAGGUCCUCGCCCCGUCCAUGGAGCAAAAGGUCCAGCACAUCCGAGAGGAGGAGUAUGACCAUCUUGUAAGGUACAUUAACAAAACUUCUUGCUGCAGCUCCGAGGCCAUUGUCGACGUGCGGCAUGUAUCACGACAUUUCUGUGGUGACAUGAUAAGGAGGCUUGUCUUCGGCAAGCGAUACUUCAGCAACCUACCAGCUUCCGCGACCAGCGGUCCUGGGCAUGAUGAGCUGGCACAUGUUGCCGCGCUUUUCACUCUCCUCAACCAUGUAUACAGCUUCUGUGUAUCGGACUAUUUUCCUGCCCUGCAAGGCCUCGACUUGGAGGGCCAUGAGAUGGUUUCCAGGGAUGUAAUGAGAACAAUCAAUCGGUUGCAUGAUCCCAUCAUAGAGGACAGGAUUCGUGAAAGGUCCAAUUCCAUUCAGAGCCGUGCUGAAAAGAAAGAGGCCAGAGACUUUUUGGACGUCCUGGUUUACCUUGAAGAUGCACAAGGACAGCCAUUGUUGUCCCGAGAAGAUAUAAGAGCACAAACAACGGAAAUUAUGUUUGCAAUAAUUGACAACCCAUCCAACGCUGUUGAGUGGGCACUCGCUGAGAUGAUCAACAGGCCGGAGGUCAUGCAAAAAGCAAUUAAUGAACUCGACAUGGUCGUCGGUAAAGAGAGACUAGUCCAGGAGUCUGACAUUUCUCAGCUAAACUAUCUCAAAUCAUGUAUCCGGGAGGCCUUCCGCAUGCAUCCAUACCAUCCUUUUAACCCACCACAUGUUGCCAUGGCGGACACCACGGUGGCAGGCUACACCAUACCUAAGGGUAGCCAUGUCAUAUUAAGCCGGUUUGGACUUGGUCGCAACCCCAAGAUCUGGGUCGAACCACUGGAGUUUCGGCCAGAGAGGCAUCUCAAUGCGGCAAAUGUACUUCUCACUGAACCAGGCCUACGUUUCAUUUCAUUUAGCACUGGGAGGAGGGGUUGUCCAGGGAUCUCACUUGGUACCUCGGUAACAAUGAUGUUGAUUGCAAGGAUGCUGCAGGGAUUCACUUGGACGAAGCCUCCUGGCGUUCACAGUAUCGAUCUCCAGGAGAGCAAAAUUGGCCUUGCUCUAGCUGAACCCCUUGUUUUGCGAGCCAAACCACGUCUGCCUGCACAUCUCUAUGGGCCAAUAGAGUGUAUGUAA